This 602-nucleotide ribosomal RNA is filed under the name uncultured bacterium. RNAcentral describes it as "bacterial SSU rRNA". It matches the Rfam family "Bacterial small subunit ribosomal RNA", at positions 898 to 1502 of the family's 1533-position model. The record is from RNAcentral.
AACUCAAAGGAAUUGACGGGGGCUCACACAAGCGGUGGAGCAUGUGGAUCAAUUCGAAGCAACGCGAAGAACCUUACCUGGGUUUGACAUGCACGGAUGGUCUCGGUGAAAGCUGAGUAAUCUGCCUUCGGGUGAAACGUGCACAGGUGCUGCAUGGCUGUCGUCAGCUCGUGCUGUGAAGUGUCGGGUUAAGUCCCUUAACGAGCGAAACCCUUGUCGCUAGUUACCAGCGGGUCAUGCCGGGGACUCUAGCGAGACUGCCGGCGUUAAGCCGGAGGAAGGUGGGGACGACGUCAAGUCAUCAUGGCCUUUAUGCCCAGGGUUUCACACGUGCUACAAUGGGGUGUACAGAGCGACGCAAAGCCGCGAGGUGGAGCAAAUCGCACAAAACAUCCCCCAGUUCGGAUUGGGGUCUGCAACCCGACCCCAUGAAGUCGGAAUCGCUAGUAAUCGCGUAUCAGCCAUGACGCGGUGAAUGUGUUCCUGAGCCUUGUACACACCGCCCGUCAAGUCAUGGAAGCUGGGAGUUCCCGAAGUCGCCGCAUCUCUGCGGUGCCGACGGAAAGCCUGGUGACUGGGACUAAGUCGUAACAAGGUAACCA